UAAAGGCGACAUCAUAAGAUUUUGAUAAAACUUUAGCACGAAUUCGAUUCAUGAUCCGGUUUACAUUAUUUUAGGCGUCUCUACCUUUCCCAUUUCUCUCAACACCGUAGAAUCUAUGGAAGAAGAUCUCAAAUUAAACAAACAGAUCUGAGUUUUGGUCGAGGAGAAAAUGAGUUGGAACCGUAAAUUUUGGUUUCAUGGCGAUUCUUUUGAGAUGACUACCGGUUAUCUGCUAAACUUACAUCUACAAAUCUGGAUGUUAUCCAACUGGAGCUUGGCGUGGUUGGUACUUUUAUCAGUCUGUGCAGAUUAGGGUGGCAGUUUGGCUAUCAUAGACUCUGGAUUUUUUGGAUCUUUGCAGCGGUGUACAUAAUUGUACACAUCAAUGUAAAUUAA
Papaver somniferum (opium poppy) is the source of this 396-nucleotide long non-coding RNA. RefSeq lists it as uncharacterized. The record is from RefSeq and is a predicted model, not a curated record. NCBI's taxonomy places the organism in Eukaryota, Viridiplantae, Streptophyta, Magnoliopsida, Ranunculales, Papaveraceae. The transcript has 3 exons.